RNAcentral lists this ribosomal RNA (301 nucleotides) under uncultured bacterium. Its description in RNAcentral is "partial 16S ribosomal RNA". It matches the Rfam family "Bacterial small subunit ribosomal RNA", at positions 509 to 807 of the family's 1533-position model. The record is from RNAcentral.
CAGUCGCCGCGGUAAUACGAAGGGGGCUAGCGUUGUUCGGAUUUACUGGGCGUAAAGCGCACGUAGGCGGACUUUUAAGUCAGGGGUGAAAUCCCGGGGCUCAACCCCGGAACUGCCUUUGAUACUGGGAGUCUUGAGUUCGAGAGAGGUGAGUGGAAUUGCGAGUGUAGAGGUGAAAUUCGUAGAUAUUCGCAGGAACACCAAUGGCGAAGGCGGCUCACUGGCUCGAUACUGACGCUGAGGUGCGAAAGCGUGGGGAGCAAACAGGAUUAGAUACCCGGGUAGUCCCUGUCUCUUAUAC